GGCUCGGUAGCUUAGUUGGUAAAGCACUUGUCUGACGAAUAAGGGUCGUGCGUGAGUUCAAAUCUCACCUGAGCUG
Molecule: non-coding RNA, 76 nt
Organism: Aedes albopictus (Asian tiger mosquito)
Lineage: Eukaryota; Metazoa; Arthropoda; Insecta; Diptera; Culicidae
Source: the annotation of a RefSeq genome assembly